RNAcentral lists this ribosomal RNA (619 nucleotides) under uncultured archaeon. Its description in RNAcentral is "bacterial SSU rRNA". It matches the Rfam family "Archaeal small subunit ribosomal RNA", at positions 88 to 709 of the family's 1478-position model. The record is from RNAcentral.
GCUCAUUAACACGUGGAUAAUCUGCCCUUAGGUGGAGGAUAAUCUCGGGAAACUGAGGAUAAUACUCCAUAGAUCUAGGGAUGCUGGAAUGCAUCUAGAUUGAAAGCUCCGGCGCCUAAGGAUGAGUCUGCGGACUAUCAGGUUGUAGUCAGGGUAAAGACCUGACUAGCCUAUGACGGAUACGGGUUGUGAGAGCAAUAACCCGGAGACGAUAUCUGAGACACGAUAUCGGGCCCUACGGGGCGCAGCAGGCGCGAAAACUUCACACUGUGCGAAAGCGCGAUGAGGGAAUCCCAAGUGUUUGCUCGUAAGAGUAAACUGUUUCUUUGUUUAAAACGCAGAGAGAGUAAGGGCUGGGUAAGACGGGUGCCAGCCGCCGCGGUAAUACCUGCAGCUCAAGUGGUGAUCAUUAUUAUUGGGCCUAAAACGUCCGUAGCCGGUUUGGUAAAUGCCUGGGUAAAUCGUGUAGCUUAACUAUACGAAUUCCGGGUAGACUGCCAAACUUGAGACCGGGAGAGGCUAGAGGUACUCCUGGGGUAGAGGUGAAAUCUGUAAUCCUAGGGGGACCACCAGUGGCGGAGGCGUCUAGCUAGAACGGGCCUGACGGUCAGGGACGAAG